CCCGCACAAGCGGUGGAGCAUGUGGUUUAAUUCGACGCAACGCGAAGAACCUUACCUGGGCUUGACAUCCCGAUCGCACCUUAUGGAAACAUAGGGGUCAGUUCGGCUGGAUCGGUGACAGGUGCUGCAUGGCUGUCGUCAGCUCGUGUCGUGAGAUGUUGGGUUAAGUCCCGCAACGAGCGCAACCCUUGUCCUUAGUUGCCAGCAUUCAGUUGGGCACUCUAAGGAGACUGCCGGUGUCAAACCGGAGGAAGGUGGGGAUGACGUCAAGUCCUCAUGGCCCUUAUGGGUAGGGCUUCACACGUCAUACAAUGGUCGGUACAGAGGGUUGCCAACCCGCGAGGGGGAGCUAAUCCCACAAAGCCGAUCGUAGUCCGGAUCGCAGUCUGCAACUCGACUGCGUGAAGUCGGAAUCGCUAGUAAUCGUGGAUCAGCAUGCCUACGGUCGAAUACGUUCCGGCCUU
This 464-nucleotide ribosomal RNA is filed under the name uncultured Rhodocyclaceae bacterium. RNAcentral describes it as "bacterial SSU rRNA". It matches the Rfam family "Bacterial small subunit ribosomal RNA", at positions 921 to 1377 of the family's 1533-position model. Lineage: Bacteria; Pseudomonadati; Pseudomonadota; Betaproteobacteria; Rhodocyclales; Rhodocyclaceae. The record is from RNAcentral.